Molecule: ribosomal RNA, 362 nt
Filed under: uncultured bacterium
Lineage: Bacteria
Description: bacterial SSU rRNA
Rfam family: Bacterial small subunit ribosomal RNA
Source: RNAcentral
AUUGAACGCUGGCGGCAUGCCUUACACAUGCAAGUCGAACGGCAGCACGGGAGCAAUCCUGGUGGCGAGUGGCGAACGGGUGAGUAAUAUAUCGGAACGUGCCCAGUCGUGGGGAUAACGUAGCGAAAGCUACGCUAAUACCGCAUACGAUCUAUGGAUGAAAGCGGGGGAUCGCAAGACCUCGCGCGAUUGGAGCGGCCGAUAUCAGAUUAGGUUGUUGGUGAGGUAAAAGCUCACCAAGCCGACGAUCUGUAGCUGGUUUGAGAGAACGACCAGCCANACUGGGACUGAGACACGGCCCAGACUCCUACGGGAGGCAGCAGUGAGGAAUUUUUGGACAAUGGGCGCAAGCCUGAUCCAGC